GUCGGGAUGGCCGAAGUGGUCUAAGGCGUCGGACUCAAGUUCUAAUCCUCCUACGAGGGCAUGGGUUCAAAUCCCACUUCGACA
This is a non-coding RNA of Sphenostylis stenocarpa, 84 nucleotides long. NCBI's taxonomy places the organism in Eukaryota, Viridiplantae, Streptophyta, Magnoliopsida, Fabales, Fabaceae. The record is from the annotation of a GenBank genome assembly.